This 773-nucleotide ribosomal RNA is filed under the name uncultured bacterium. Its description in RNAcentral is "bacterial SSU rRNA". It matches the Rfam family "Bacterial small subunit ribosomal RNA", at positions 8 to 798 of the family's 1533-position model. The record is from RNAcentral.
AGAGUUUGAUCCUGGCUCAGGACGAACGCUGGCGGCGUGCUUAACACAUGCAAGUCGAACGGAAAGGCCCUUCGGGGUACUCGAGUGGCGAACGGGUGAGUAACACGUGGGUGAUCUGCCCUGCACUUUGGGAUAAGCCUGGGAAACUGGGUCUAAUACCGAAUAUGACCACGCUCUUCAUGGGGUGUGGUGGAAAGCUUUUGCGGUGUGGGAUGGGCCCGCGGCCUAUCAGCUUGUUGGUGGGGUAAUGGCCUACCAAGGCGACGACGGGUAGCCGGCCUGAGAGGGUGACCGGCCACACUGGGACUGAGAUACGGCCCAGACUCCUACGGGAGGCAGCAGUGGGGAAUAUUGCACAAUGGGCGCAAGCCUGAUGCAGCGACGCCGCGUGAGGGAUGACGGCCUUCGGGUUGUAAACCUCUUUCAAUAGGGACGGAGCGCAAGUGACGGUACCUAUAGAAGAAGCACCGGCCAACUACGUGCCAGCAGCCGCGGUAAUACGUAGGGUGCGAGCGUUGUCCGGAAUUACUGGGCGUAAAGAGCUCGUAGGUGGUUUGUCGCGUUGUUCGUGAAAACUCACAGCUUAACUGUGGGCGUGCGGGCGAUACGGGCAGACUAGAGUACUGCAGGGGAGACUGGAAUUCCUGGUGUAGCGGUGGAAUGCGCAGAUAUCAGGAGGAACACCGGUGGCGAAGGCGGGUCUCUGGGCAGUAACUGACGCUGAGGAGCGAAAGCGUGGGGAGCGAACAGGAUUAGAUACCCCGGUAGUCCAA